GACGAACGCUGGCGGCGUGCUUAACACAUGCAAGUCGAACGGAAAAGCCCUGCUUUUGUGGGGUGCUCGCGUCGCGAACGGGUGAGUAACAUGUGAGUCACCUGCCCAUGGCUUUGUGAUAACUUCAGAAAACUGGGGCUAAUACCGGCUAGGAGCUCCUGCUGCAUGGUGGGGGUCGGACCGUUUGGGCGGUUGGGGAUGGACUCUCGGUUUAUCAGCUUGUUGGUGGGAGAGUUGCUUACCAAGCCUUUGAUGGGUAGUCGGCCGGAGAGGGUGGCCGGCCACAAUGGGACUGAGAGACGGACCAGAGUCCUACGGGAGGCAGCAGUGGGGAAUAUUGCACAAUGGGCGGAAGCCUGAUGCAGCAACGCCGCGUGCGGGAUGACGGCCUUCGGGUGGUAAACCGCAGUCGCCUGUGACGAAGCGGGAGUGACGGUAAUGGGUAAAUAAGCACCGGCUAACUACGUG
Molecule: ribosomal RNA, 468 nt
Filed under: uncultured bacterium
Lineage: Bacteria
Description: partial 16S ribosomal RNA
Rfam family: Bacterial small subunit ribosomal RNA
Source: RNAcentral